UGGAGGAGAAGGAAGGUGAUG
Molecule: microRNA, 21 nt
Filed under: Pan troglodytes (chimpanzee)
Lineage: Eukaryota; Metazoa; Chordata; Mammalia; Primates; Hominidae
Also listed under: 2 other names
Description: ptr-miR-765
Gene: ptr-miR-765
Source: miRBase by way of RNAcentral